GCUCCGGGAGUUCCGGGCGGUCCGGGCGCUCCGGGCGCUCCGGGCCAGGGUGUUCCGGGUGUUCCGGGUGUUCCGGGUGCUCCUGGAGUUCC
RNAcentral lists this transfer RNA (92 nucleotides) under Streptomyces gelaticus. RNAcentral's name for it is "tRNA-Arg". The record is from RNAcentral. Lineage: Bacteria; Bacillati; Actinomycetota; Actinomycetes; Kitasatosporales; Streptomycetaceae.